Molecule: long non-coding RNA, 737 nt
Filed under: Citrus sinensis (sweet orange)
Lineage: Eukaryota; Viridiplantae; Streptophyta; Magnoliopsida; Sapindales; Rutaceae
Description: long non-coding RNA (CSIN_LNC001447)
Source: RNAcentral
ACAUCCUCUCUUGAUGAAGAUAUAUUACCAGGUAUCUUUAAUGUUAUCUCUUUGGCGGACCUUGCAGGGCAGAACUAUCAUUUGCUUUAAAUCUCAAUACUCAAUAUUAAGUUGCAUGUAACUUUACAAACUUUAUAAACAAAGAGAGAGAUAGAGAGCAGUACGUAAUUAAUUAUUUUUAUCACUUGUACAAACGCUACGGAAUCAUGAUAAUUGUAAGAUAAAGCUCACUUGCAUACGCAGAACCCAUCUUAAUUAUUCUUUAAUAUUUCAUUUCUUUGAUUCUUUCCCAGAAUGGUCCACAGGUGAAGCUUGGCUUGAUUCUUCAGAAUGUAUCUUCUUAGCCAUCCACGAGACAGAGCCACUCGAUUUUUUCUCUUCUGAACGAUCAUCAGUCCCUUCAAUCUUGGCUCCAUCUUCUUGCAUUUUCUUCAUUUUCUCCUUAUGAGCCUUCAUUGACACAUAUGCCUCUGCAAGAGAGCAUCCAGCAGGAGUUGCCAUGGACUGCAGCAAAAGUUUUGUGAUAUAUAUCUAAAUGAUUUGUAUUACAACUUUGAUUGCUUUGUGUAAAUGAUGAUGAGCUUAAUUUAUAGAGGUUUUGGAACUUGGCUGUCAAGCAAUCGUCACCUUCUUUAGUAUUUUAACUUAUCAUUAAGUGAUUUUGAUUAAACAAUUUCAAGUUUUUCUUCAGAAUUCAGACUUGGACAAAGUUAAAGUAGGGACAUUCUGAAUGGUCC